RNAcentral lists this long non-coding RNA (263 nucleotides) under Homo sapiens (human). RNAcentral describes it as "HSALNT0358865". The record is from RNAcentral. Lineage: Eukaryota; Metazoa; Chordata; Mammalia; Primates; Hominidae.
CUGCAUUGUCUCUGGUGUAGGCACAUGACACAUUCCACCCAAAAAAUUAAGAGAGGCUGUAUCCUGUCCCUGAUCCAAGGUCUAACAGCAUUGGCAGGAUCUCAUAUGAAUGAGCACAGUACUAGAAGACAUCACGAUGAGGCCUUAUUCCAACUUCAGGUUGCAGUGUGUUUUCAACAUGGCACUUAAACUUGUGAAUAUAUUUGGAGUAUUUUUGCACACUGGAGAAUCAUCCUGUCACCUCCACACAUGGAAUAACAUAG